Molecule: transfer RNA, 67 nt
Filed under: Drosophila eurypeza
Lineage: Eukaryota; Metazoa; Arthropoda; Insecta; Diptera; Drosophilidae
Description: tRNA-Ser
Source: RNAcentral
AGUUAAUGAGCUUGAAUAAGCUUAUGUUUUGAAAACAUACGAUAGAAAUUUUAUUUUCUAUUAACUU